UACGGAGGGUGCAAGCGUUGUUCGGAAUUACUGGGCGUAAAGCGUGCGCAGGCGGUUUUGUAAGCCAGAUGUGAAAUCCCCGGGCUUAACCUGGGAAUGGCAUUUGGGACUGCAAGGCUUGAGUGCGGCAGAGGAGACUGGAAUUCCUGGUGUAGCAGUGAAAUGCGUAGAUAUCAGGAGGAACACCGAUGGCGAAGGCAGGUCUCUGGGCUGACACUGACGCUCAUGCACGAAAGCGUGGGGAGCAAACAGG
This 253-nucleotide ribosomal RNA is filed under the name uncultured bacterium. RNAcentral's name for it is "partial 16S ribosomal RNA". It matches the Rfam family "Bacterial small subunit ribosomal RNA", at positions 524 to 776 of the family's 1533-position model. The record is from RNAcentral.